UGCCGUGCUGCUGGAAGCCGGCUGGCCAUUGGCGUUGAUGACGCCAGGCUGCUUGAUACCGGCCUGCUGUUCCGGCGUCUGCUGCGGCAGC
RNAcentral lists this transfer RNA (91 nucleotides) under Dyella mobilis. RNAcentral's name for it is "tRNA-Ile". Lineage: Bacteria; Pseudomonadati; Pseudomonadota; Gammaproteobacteria; Lysobacterales; Rhodanobacteraceae. The record is from RNAcentral.